RNAcentral lists this ribosomal RNA (423 nucleotides) under uncultured bacterium. Its description in RNAcentral is "partial 16S ribosomal RNA". It matches the Rfam family "Bacterial small subunit ribosomal RNA", at positions 361 to 776 of the family's 1533-position model. The record is from RNAcentral.
AUCUUCCACAAUGGGCGAAAGCCUGAUGGAGCAACGCCGCGUGAGUGAAGAAGGUUUUCGGAUCGUAAAACUCUGUUGUAAGGGAAGAACAAGUACAGUAGUAACUGGCUGUACCUUGACGGUACCUUAUUAGAAAGCCACGGCUAACUACGUGCCAGCAGCCGCGGUAAUACGUAGGUGGCAAGCGUUGUCCGGAAUUAUUGGGCGUAAAGCGAGCGCAGGCGGUCCUUUAAGUCUGAUGUGAAAGCCCACGGCUCAACCGUGGAGGGUCAUUGGAAACUGGGGGACUUGAGUGCAGAAGAGGAAAGUGGAAUUCCAAGUGUAGCGGUGAAAUGCGUAGAGAUUUGGAGGAACACCAGUGGCGAAGGCGGAUUACUGGACGACUACUGACGCUGAAUCACGAAAGCGUGGGGAGCAAACAGG